Molecule: long non-coding RNA, 1238 nt
Organism: Pygocentrus nattereri (red-bellied piranha)
Lineage: Eukaryota; Metazoa; Chordata; Actinopteri; Characiformes; Serrasalmidae
Source: Ensembl
AAAAAGUCGAGAAACUACAAUUUAGCCAUGUCUUCGCUGAAGACAUGAGUGAGUGAGUGGUGCUAAUUUCUCAGAAGAAUGGAAAGGUGAUAGAGAUUCAUCCGAACCUAAUGGGAUUUAGAAGUUGGAGAUUCUCCAGCCAGUCCUCACCAAACAUCACUGAGGCAGUGAAUAAAGAGUCCUACCCACUCCUUCAGAGAAAUGCUCUCACACCUUGGAGAGAUCUGAGGAGCAGAAGGGAAGAGAAAGAGAGAGGUACCGAGAGAUUGGAGAGGACAUCACCCUCUCUCUCAAGCUUAGCCUGCCUCGAUGAACCUCAGCAAACUAAAGUUGCCUUGCCUUGUGCUAGUUCCUGCCUGACCCGGACCCUCAGCAUCCCUGACACCAGCUCCACCAGUACCUUGUCUGGCUUCUGUUCUAUCACUAUCACUGCUCGGAGAGUUUCAUUCAGUGGGGAUGCUUGCCACGAAACAAGGCCUUUCCACUCACAAGAACAGCUCCCAUCAUCCUCUACCUCAAACGUAAAGUCCGAUUGCAAAGCAACCAUGGUGAAAAUGGCUGAGGACAGUGGAAGAUACUACACAAGUGACGGGUUUUCUGCUCACCUAGCACCUCCAGAGCAUAGACACAGCUGCACCGACAGUGGAACAACCAGCCAGAGACUGACUAGUCUCUCAUGGAGAGAAGCUAAUGAGGCUAGCUCUUCCUCUUUAGUCUCAAAACAUCUCAUUUUCCGCUCAUCUGCCCACCUGGAACUUCUCCCAUGCCAGCCUAAGAGUUCCACCUUUUAUCUGGAUAAAUCCCUUUCAGUCCCUCUUGAGAGUUCUCAAGAGGUCAGACAGGCCAUGUACAGAUCCACACUAUCGCUUCACCUUGGAAGAGCACCUUCGUCUUCCCACACAGGGAAAUUGCAAGUGAUGAGAAUUCCCAUUAGGUCCUCCAGCGAAAGCGAUAUGGUAGACUUUACUCGUAAUGCAACAGGAGAACAAUCCUGUUGCCUUAAGAACACGGCCACGGUCAAUUCCAGCCCCACCAGGUCUGACUCGAGUGUACUGAGGGCCACUUUAGCACCAUUGCCAUUCAGAGCGAGGUGCCGCUCAUCCUCAGCUGCAGUCAGACUGACUGGAAAGGCUAAUGAUGUCUCUGGGCCUCUCCAGUGCAAUCAAAGGGGGGGCGUUGAAGACCCAGGAGCGGGUUUUGGUCCCUUAUCCUGGCUUGCAGCCACAUUCUCCAGCUAA